AGACAGCCAGGAGGUUGGCUUAGAAGCAGCCAUUCCUUCAAAGAGUGCGUAAUAGCUCACUGGUCGAGUGAUUCUGCGCCAAAAAUGAUUGGGGCUAAACAUACUACCGAAGCUUUGGACUCAGCAAUGAGUGGUAGGGGAGCAUUCUGUACCGGGAUGAAGGUUGAUCGUGAGGACGACUGGACUGUACAGAAGAGAGAAUGCCGGAAUGAGUAACGAUAAAAUGUGUGAAAAACAUAUUCGCCGAAAACCCAAGGUUUUCUGGGCAAUGCUAAUCAUCUCAGAGUUAGUCGGCCCCUAAGACGAGGCUUAACAGCGUAGUCGAUGGGAAGCAGGUUAAUAUUCCUGCACCGGUUUGCGGAGGUAAUCGUGAUGGAGUGACGCAGAAAGAUAAUGGCGCAGAGUGUUGGAUUACUCUGUUCUUAGUGUAGGCUUGAUGUCCAGGUAAAUCCGGAUGUCUUAUGGCUGAGGCAAUAGGGGAGCUCGGGCAACCGAGUGAAGGUCAUGAUUCUAGGCUGCCAAGAAAAACUUCUAAACGCGAAGCAGACCGACCGUACUACAAACCGACACAGGUGGGUGGGGUGAAUAACCUAAGGCGCUCGAGAUAACUCUUGUUAAGGAACUCGGCAAAUUAGUCCCGUAACUUCGGGAAAAGGGACGCCUUUUUAGUGUGAAGUAGAACAUAUGGAGCAUGAAGAGGUCGCAGAGAAAUGGGCCAAGCGACUGUUUAGCAAAAACACAGGGCUCUGCAAAAUCGUAAGAUAAAGUAUAGGGUCUGACACCUGCCCGGUGCUGGAAGGUUAAAAGGAGAGGUUAGCGUGAUUUAUCAUGCGAAGCUUUGAAUUGAAGCCCCAGUAAACGGCGGCCGUAACUAUGACGGUCCUAAGGUAGCGAAAUUCCUUGUCAGGUAAGUUCUGACCUGCACGAAUGGUGUAACGACUUGGUCACUGUCUCAACAAGAGGCUCGGUGAAAUUGUAAUGUUAGUGAAGAUGCUGACUACCUGUAGUUGGACGGAAAGACCCCGUGCACCUUUACUGUACCCUGACACUGUGAUUUGGCAACGUAUGUGUAGGAUAGGUGGGAGACUUUGAAGUUGGGACGCCAGUCUCGAUGGAGUCGUUGUUGAAAUACCACCCUUACUUUGUUGGAUUACUAACUGAUACCCGUUAUCCGGGAUCAGGACAAUGUCUGGCGGGCAGUUUGACUGGGGCGGUCGCCUCCUAAAGAGUAACGGAGGCGCCCAAAGG
Molecule: ribosomal RNA, 1248 nt
Filed under: activated sludge metagenome
Description: bacterial LSU rRNA
Rfam family: Bacterial large subunit ribosomal RNA
Source: RNAcentral